UGGUACACCAGUAAUCAGCCUGUAACAACUCUGUACUUGAAGGCAUGGGGAGAGAAUAUUCAGGGAAAAUUUUACAAAAAUAUUAAAAGACUAGUUUCGGGUUUUGUGGUUUUGGUUUUUUUUUUUUUUUUUUUUUUCCAACCCUGUGUUCAUAACUUAUUUGCAUUACUCAGACUCUCCAUAGCUUGUGAGGUGCCAACCUCCCUCUUCAAGGACCAAAUGUCUCACUACAGCUCUGCUGAUGGAAAUGUUGUCAGUGCUGCUCAAAUGGAAUUGAUAAUGACAUUCUUAAUAAAAUCCAGAAGAAAAAAAACAUUUGUGUGCAUGAAGAGAAGAUGUACAGGGGCUCCUUUGAUACCACACUGCAGGGAUGUUGAACACCGCAGGUGGGAGUGGUGACUGGGUGAGCUCUCUGGGAAGGUGUGUGACCCAGCGUGCUCCAGAAACACCCUGGCACUGAAGGCGUUGUUGGGAGGUGCUUGCCU
This 485-nucleotide long non-coding RNA is filed under the name Chloebia gouldiae (Gouldian finch). Its description in RNAcentral is "Erythrura gouldiae (Gouldian finch) lncRNA (ENSEGOG00005004200.1)". Lineage: Eukaryota; Metazoa; Chordata; Aves; Passeriformes; Passeridae. The record is from RNAcentral.